AUUGAACGCUGGCGGCAUGCUUUACACAUGCAAGUCGAACGGCAGCGCGGGGCAACCUGGCGGCGAGUGGCGAACGGGUGAGUAAUAUAUCGGAACGUACCCAGAAGUGGGGGAUAACGUAGCGAAAGUUACGCUAAUACCGCAUACGAUCUACGGAUGAAAGUAGGGGACCGCAAGGCCUUAUGCUUUUGGAGCGGCCGAUAUCUGAUUAGCUACUUGGUGAGGUAAAGGCUCACCAAGGCGACGAUCAGUAGCUGGUCUGAGAGGACGACCAGCCACACUGGAACUGAGAAACGGUCCAGACUCCUACGGGAGGCAGCGGUGGGGAAUUUUGGACAAUGGGGGGAAGCCUGAUCCAGCAAUGCCGCGUGAGUGAAGAAGGCCUUCGGGUUGUAAAGCUCUUUUGUCAGGGAAGAAACGGUAGAGGCUAAUAUCCUUUGCUAAUGACGGUACCUGAAGAAUAAGCACCGGCUAACUACGUG
RNAcentral lists this ribosomal RNA (482 nucleotides) under uncultured bacterium. Its description in RNAcentral is "partial 16S ribosomal RNA". It matches the Rfam family "Bacterial small subunit ribosomal RNA", at positions 30 to 507 of the family's 1533-position model. The record is from RNAcentral.